GACGAACGCUGGCGGCGUGCCUAAUACAUGCAAGUCGAGCGGACGGAUGGGAGCUUGCUCCCAGACCGUCAGCGGCGGACGGGUGAGUAACACGUGGGCAACCUGCCUGUAAGACUGGGAUAACUCCGGGAAACCGGGGCUAAUACCGGAUAACUCUUUCCCUCACAUGAGGGAAAGCUGAAAGAUGGCAUCUCGCUAUCACUUACAGCUGGGCCCGCGGCGCAUUAGCUAGUUGGUGAGGUAACGGCUCACCAAGGCGACGAUGCGUAGCCGACCUGAGAGGGUGAUCGGCCACACUGGAACUGAGACACGGUCCAGACUCCUACGGGAGGCAGCAGUAGGGAAUCUUCCGCAAUGGACGAAAGUCUGACGGAGCAACGCCGCGUGAGUGAUGAAGGUUUUCGGAUCGUAAAACUCUGUUGUCAGGGAAGAACAAGUACCGGAGUAACUGCCGGUACCUUGACGGUACCUGACCAGAAAGCCACGGCUAACUACGUG
Molecule: ribosomal RNA, 498 nt
Filed under: uncultured bacterium
Lineage: Bacteria
Description: partial 16S ribosomal RNA
Rfam family: Bacterial small subunit ribosomal RNA
Source: RNAcentral